AUGAACGCUGGCGGCGUGCCUCAUACCUGCAAGUCGCGCGAACAGACGAGGAGCUUGCUCCUCUGACGUUAGCGGCGGACGGGUGAGUAACACGUGGAUAACCUACCUAUAAGACUGGGAUAACUUCGGGAAACCGGAGCUAAUACCGGAUAAUAUAUCGAACCGCAUGGUUCAAUAGUGAAAGACGGUUUUGCUGUCACUUAUAGAUGGAUCCGCGCCGCAUUAGCUAGUUGGUAAGGUAACGGCUUACCAAGGCAACGAUGCGUAGCCGACCUGAGAGGGUGAUCGGCCACACUGGAACUGAGACACGGUCCAGACUCCUACGGGAGGCAGCAGUAGGGAAUCUUCCGCAAUGGGCGAAAGCUUGACGGAGCAACGCCGCGUGAGUGAUGAAGGUCUUCGGAUCGUAAAACUCUGUUAUUAGGGAAGAACAAAUGUGUAAGUAACUAUGCACGUCUUGACGGUACCUAAUCAGAAAGCCACGGCUAACUACGUG
This 496-nucleotide ribosomal RNA is filed under the name uncultured bacterium. Its description in RNAcentral is "partial 16S ribosomal RNA". It matches the Rfam family "Bacterial small subunit ribosomal RNA", at positions 29 to 507 of the family's 1533-position model. The record is from RNAcentral.